RNAcentral lists this ribosomal RNA (674 nucleotides) under uncultured Enterobacterales bacterium. RNAcentral describes it as "bacterial SSU rRNA". It matches the Rfam family "Bacterial small subunit ribosomal RNA", at positions 61 to 724 of the family's 1533-position model. Lineage: Bacteria; Pseudomonadati; Pseudomonadota; Gammaproteobacteria; Enterobacterales. The record is from RNAcentral.
GUCGAACGGUAACAGGAAGCAGCUUGCUGCUUCGCUGACGAGUGGCGGACGGGUGAGUAAUGUCUGGGAAACUGCCUGAUGGAGGGGGAUAACUACUGGAAACGGUAGCUAAUACCGCAUAACGUCGCAAGACCAAAGAGGGGGACCUUCGGGCCUCUUGCCAUCGGAUGUGCCCAGAUGGGAUUAGCUAGUACGCGGGGUAACGGCUCACCUAGGCGACGAUCCCUAGCUGGUCUGAGAGGAUGACCAGCCACACUGGAGCUGAGACACGGUCCAGACUCCUACGGGAGGCAGCAGUGGGGAAUAUUGCACAAUGGGCGCAAGCCUGAUGCAGCCAUGCCGCGUGUAUGAAGAAGGCCUUCGGGUUGUAAAGUACUUUCAGCGGGGAGGAAGGCGACAGGGUUAAUAACCCUGUCGAUUGACGUUACCCGCAGAAGAAGCACCGGCUAACUCCGUGCCAGCAGCCGCGGUAAUACGGAGGGUGCAAGCGUUAAUCGGAAUUACUGGGCGUAAAGCGCACGCAGGCGGUCUGUCAAGUCGGAUGUGAAAUCCCCGGGCUCAACCUGGGAACUGCAUUCGAAACUGGCAGGCUAGAGUCCUGUAGAGGGGGGUAGAAUUCCAGGUGUAGCGGUGAAAUGCGUAGAGAUCUGGAGGAAUACCGGUGGCGAAGGCGG